AUUGAACGCUGGCGGCAGGCCUAACACAUGCAAGUCGAGCGAGCGGGGGAAGGGUGAGUCAAGUAUGGGGACAGCCCGAUAGAGGGGGAUAACUACUGGAAACGGUGGCUAAUACCGCAUAUUGUCGGAUCACACCUAGGGGAUUGGCUAGUAGGGAGGGUAAUGGCUGACCUAGGCGACGAUCCCUAGCUGGGAUGAGAGUGUGAUCAGCCGCACUGGGAGUGAUACACGGCCAAGACUCCUACGGAGGCAGCAGUGGGGAAUAUUGCACAAUGGGCGCAAGCCUGAUGCAGCCAUGCCGCGUGUAUGAAGAGGGCCCUAGGGUUGUAAAGUACUUUCAGCGGGGAGGCGUUACCGACAGAAGAAGCACCGGCUAACUCCGUGCCAGCAGCGGCGGUAAUAC
This 403-nucleotide ribosomal RNA is filed under the name uncultured bacterium. RNAcentral's name for it is "partial 16S ribosomal RNA". It matches the Rfam family "Bacterial small subunit ribosomal RNA", at positions 29 to 526 of the family's 1533-position model. The record is from RNAcentral.